GGGUUGUGAGGUUAAGCGACUAAGCGUACACGGUGGAUGCCCUGGCAGUCAGAGGCGAUGAAGGACGUGCUAAUCUGCGAAAAGCGACGGUAAGGUGAUAUGAACCGCUACAGCCGUCGAUGUCCGAAUGGGGAAACCCGGUGCACUCUGUGCAUCAUCGUUUGAUGAAUACAUAGUCAAACGAGGCGAACCGGGGGAACUGAAACAUCUAAGUACCCCGAGGAAAAGAAAUCAACCGAGAUUCCCCCAGUAGCGGCGAGCGAACGGGGAGCAGCCCGGGACCUGAAUCAGCUUGUGCAUCAGUGGAAGCGUCUGGAAAGUCGCGCGAUACCGGGUGACAGCCCCGUACACGAAGAUGCACAGGUUGUGAGUCCGACGAGUAGGGCGGGACACGUGGUAUCCUGUCUGAAUAUGGGGGGACCAUCCUCCAAGGCUAAAUACUCCUGACUGACCGAUAGUGAACCAGUACCGUGAGGGAAAGGCGAAAAGAACCCCGGCGAGGGGAGUGAAACAGAACCUGAAACCGUGUACGUACAAGCAGUGGGAGCACCUUCGGGUGUGACUGCGUACCUUUUGUAUAAUGGGUCAGCGACUUAUAUUCUGUAGCAAGGUUAACCGCAUAGGGGAGCCGAAGGGAAACCGGGUCUUAACCGGGCGUUAAGUUGCAGGGUAUAGACCCGAAACCCGGUGAUCUAGCCAUGGGCAGGUUGAAGGUUGGGUAACACUAACUGGAGGACCGAACCGACUAAUGUUGAAAAAUUAGCGGAUGACUUGUGGCUGGGGGUGAAAGGCCAAUCAAACCGGGAGAUAGCUGGUUCUCCCCGAAAGCUAUUUAGGUAGCGCCUCGUGAACUCAUCCUCGGGGGUAGAGCACUGUUUCGGCUGGGGG
RNAcentral lists this ribosomal RNA (888 nucleotides) under Pantoea sp. Pent. RNAcentral's name for it is "partial 23S ribosomal RNA". It matches the Rfam family "Bacterial large subunit ribosomal RNA", at positions 1 to 925 of the family's 2925-position model. The record is from RNAcentral. Lineage: Bacteria; Pseudomonadati; Pseudomonadota; Gammaproteobacteria; Enterobacterales; Erwiniaceae.